RNAcentral lists this long non-coding RNA (663 nucleotides) under Felis catus (domestic cat). RNAcentral's name for it is "lncRNA (ENSFCAG00000048326.1)". Lineage: Eukaryota; Metazoa; Chordata; Mammalia; Carnivora; Felidae. The record is from RNAcentral.
GUAUCCUGGCAUCGGCAGAGUUCUCUUCCCCUCAUCUUUGGAAAGUUUCGCAAGCUGGGCCCCUCCUGUGUGUAGCCAACAAUGAUGUUUUGUGUCUUCAUCCCGUUUGAAGGGCCUGGCACACAAACAGCCCAGCCUAUUCAUUCCUAGAGCAAUUUUACAUAUGCAAGACCAAAGCCAAGAUUAAUGUCUUCAUCCUCGACGUGCUCAUUCAGACACGUUCUGGUAAGUGCAAACACUGGGAUCUUUCACACGAGAAGUGGGGUUCCUGAUCGAUACGUCUGGCCUUGCUCACAUAGCCACCUCUUUGUUGCAACUCAAUCAUCCAAAUGGAUAGUUAAUAGAAGGACAUUUGUUUUGUCCAUCUGGAGUUCCUCCAGCGGGACAGAGAUGGCGUCACCUGCCCGGGGGGUCAUGUUGGCUCCCUCCUGGUUGAUACUCAGUGCACAACUCCCUCAAAUGAGCCACACUGCACGUGUUCCGCAGGCAGAUGGAGGCUACUGCGAACUAACAUUCAAUGAUGAAGAUUUACAGGGGAAAAAGCCUCAGCGGUCUAUCAUCAGGCCAAGCCUGAUCAAGAAGCUUACGUCAACCAAGCCGGCAGGGACAUCUCUGCGUCACUGCUGUGCUUCUUCCCGGGAUGACUUCAACUGGAGGCGCUAG